GGGAGGGGAUGGAAAGGUUAGAGUCCUAAAUUGACAGUGACAUGAUGGCAGGAGUGAGUCAAGAGUAAGCGACAAGAAAGAUUGGUCCUAAGGAGGCAGCUGAGAGAAGGGAAGCUCAUGGGCUCACUGAGCUGUACCAUCAGGGCUUGGUGCCUUUCAGAGAGGUGAAGGAAGAGGACUGAACAAGGAUUCAGGUAAGAUUCCCUAGUGCAGAGGGAAUUUUUCAAAGGGUUACACGAAGAGAAAAAUCAGAAAGCUUGGAGCAUAAUUAGAAAGCUGGGAAGUUAUUCUAAGGAAGGAAACAUCUGGGCUGUGUGUGCUGUUGGGGAAGGGGAUUCUGAGCUGGUUACUGAUAUUUAAUCACCUGUACUACUUAGGUUUGCCAAGUCUGAGUGGGGUGGAAUGUCUGACAGACACUCCAGAUGAGGGGAAAAAAGACCCAGAGAUCAAAUUAGUUUGUGAAUCCCAGAGUGGGAUGGAGACAUUGUGACACAAUGUUAAGAGCAUGAGCUCUGGAAAUCAGACAGAUUUGUGUGAUGGUUAAUUUGUUUGUUAACUUGACUGGGCCACAGGGUAGCCAGAUAUUUGAUCAAACAUUAUUCUGGGUGUUUCUGUGAGAGUGUUUUUGGAUGAGACUAACAUUUAAAAUGGUACACUAAAUAAGGUAGACUGCCCUCCAUAAUGAAGGGCCUCAACCUUCCUGCCUGAUGGCCUUUGAAAUGGGACAUUGGCUUUUUCCUGCCUUUGGACUCGGAAUAGAACUACACCAUCAGCUCUCCUGGGUCCCCAGCUUGCCGACUCACCCUGCAGAUCUUGGGACUUGUCAACCUUCAUAAGUCCAAGGCUUCCUGAACACUGCUUUGUAAGCUGCCUCGCAGACAAACCCUGUGAAACCUGAGGUCGCCACACCAGCGGCAGGAUGCAGGUCACUGGACCACGGCAGCCCACUCUGCAGUCAACAGUGCGGGUCACUUUACGCUGACAGAGCUGCUCUCCAGCACCUCCCCCGGCACACACACACCCAAAGCACAGGAGAGUGUCCAUUUCACAAGGUGUCCGGCACUGCUUUCCUUAAAACGAAGCUUCUAUCUGGAAGGUCACCUUGGUCCCCGCGCGGCUCGGGACCGAGCGCCUGGGCUCUGUGACAUCAGCGUUGGCUUCUCAACCGCUGACCUUCAGGCCCCAGAGCUUGGCCCGACCCUAGAACGGCCACCGCCCUUCACACCGCGGAGGGCGGCGUCCCUCCCACCGCCGCGCCGAAUUCGGGCUUGGCGACUCGCUGGGGGGUCCCGGGCGCCCCCCACCCGCCCCGACGGCCAAGCGCCCGGAGCCCGCCCCACGGCCGCCCCUGAGGGCUGUCGUCCCGACAGGCUCGGUCCACUCCGCCCGCCGAGCCCUCGCCGAGCCCCGCUGCUGUGCUGACUUCAGCCCACAUCGCACCCCAGCCACCAGGGAACUUUCCAGAACGUUGGCCCUCUCUGGGAAGUCCCGAGUCGCCAUCCAGGAGGGAGCGCCCACCUGAGGCCUGGCGGGCUCGGGGCCGGGCCGCACGCGGAGCGCACCCUUCGGGCCCAGCCUCCGGAAGCGCUAUUCAGUCGCCGCGGGGCGCCACCCCUCGGGCCGGGCCCGCCGCUCCAGGGGCACCGACGGCGGCGCAGCAAGACACGGGAGAGCACCGCGCCCCCAGCCCGCCAGGAGCCCCCUGCCCGCCUAGACCUCGCCCGACCCCCCGGAGGCAGCCCGAGCUAAAAUUAGCGCCGAGCGCGCGGCGCGCUCACGUGCGCCCCGCGGGACGGGGUGCGGGUGAGUCACGGCCCCGCCCCCCUCGCCGAGGACGCGCUGACGUCAGCCGCUUCCCCGAAGGAUGACGUCAGCGCGCCUCGGGGAGGCCGCGAGGCCUCCGUAGAACGUUCACUGAGUUUCGAUGUCUUAAAGGGACCAGGCCUUGGAUCGUGAAAGAUCUAGAGCGAUGACUGCUCUCGCUCACCCGUGGAGGCAGAACUUGUCUUAUAUCUCUUUGUCCGGAGAAGUGUUGGCUAAGAUGAUGUUGAAAAAAAGAAGAGCACCUGAACCUCAUUGGAAGCUCCCCGAAGCCUCAGAACCUCCUCCUGGAAGCCCUCUGUGAUUAACCGGAAUCUCAUCCUUACUCAAAAGUCAGGAAGUUUUCUAUGGCCCUUGACUCCCUAUCCCUUCACUUCCAGCUGCUCCCCGUAUGCUUAUAUCUCUGCUCGUAGAGAAAGGCUGUGCUUUGAAUGUUUAUGUAUAUAAUCCAUCAAUUUAGGGCAGCUUGGCCCAUUUAUCUGUGUCCGAACUCUGCCAUUAGUCAUGUGACCUGCAGCAAGUUAUUUAACUCUGGGUCUGAAAUUCCUGAACUGGUCCCCAAACCCUCCUCUUAUGCUAAUACUGCCUGCGAAAUUUCCAGAGGUUCGAUCUUACAGCUGGAUCUUUCAGCCCUGUCGCAAUAGCCUCACAGGGAGCUAACAAUUUACUGAGGUUUACUAUGUGGCAGGUGUUUUCAUUAUCCUCUUUGUCCCCCUCGUUUAACCCUAUCGCCCGCCCCUCUGAGGUUGAUAUUAAUUGCCCCAUUUUACUGACAAAGAAGGAAAUCUAAAUGUGUUUCCCUAGGUUACACAGCUAAAGAAUGGCAAACAGGAAGUCAUUCCCAGGUCAGCUGGACUCUGAGUCUGUGUUUUGGUGACGAAGAUGGGCUAUGAAAUCUAUGUCUUAUUCGGGGUAUGUUGAGUCCCCUAGAACCUGCUUUUUCCCUUUUAAUGCAAUCCCAGGGCCUCUGACCCAGUGACCCACUCCACCCCAGAAGAUCCCUGGAGAAGGAGGGUCAGGCAGGUGAGAAGGUGCCCUGUUGCAGGUGCUCAUCCUGCGUUUCCACCCUAAGCACCUCACUCGCCUCACCCUAGGCCCAGCCCUGCCAGGCCUACCCUUGACUCUCUUUUCUCUCUUGAAACCAGAGAGGGCAUCCCUCUUAAAGCAUCCCCAUCUGGCACACCAGCAGCCAGCUCCACCCAAGUGCAGAAGAAAUACCUUGUUUCUCCUCCAUCAUAAUCUCCUCUGUAAAGCAACAGAAAAUUUCCUGUUGGAACAGCAUUUUCAUGCCAAAAACAAAUUAGAGACAACAACAGCUUCUCAAAGUUUUAAACAAAAUGAUGGUGCCUAUGUGCUGGAAACGGAGCCAAGUGGGUGACCUGAAGCCACUGUUAUCUUCCGACAAUCAUUGUUGGUCCUUGGCUGAGUGUCACAGCCCCAUCCUCAGGCCACACAUGCCCGGUCUACCAGGAGCACCUUCCGCCCCUGGCUCACCCCUGGGAGACAUUUAAACUGACCCCCCUCUUUCAUACCCAGUCUCCAGCCGCCACAGAGCUCUCCUUUGUGUCCCCUGCUCCUGUCUCCUCUAUCAAUGGGAGUCACUGCCCGCUGCCCUUCCUGUACUGCCAGGUUUUCUGGAGCCUGUGACCAAACCCCUGGUGUGUGUUCCCACCACAACCUCAGGAGGAGAUGGAGAAAACCACAGACGGCCUCAGCCGUGAGGUCAGCGGCUUGUUCCCUUGCACUUGGCUUGGACGUACAGACAUGGAAGCUUAGAGCAGUAUGAGACCUUCAGGCCAACCAGGCCAGCCCCUGUUUUAUAACUAAGGGACUGAGGUGCAGGUGAGGUGACCUGCCUGGGGUCACAUGGCCUGUUAGGUAGAGAGUCCUAGUCACCUGACUUCCAGCCCACUGCUCUUUCCAUGAUCACACCUCUGUUAUGAGUCUCAGGUGGAACCGUGGGCGUAAAUGUGCAUGGUAAACUGUAACACGCCAUUUACACGAUAGAAAGGAAGACAAAUGGCGACUUGAAGUUUUGACUUUUUAUCUCCCAGCCUUCACUUCCCAUCAUCUUCCUAUCUCAGAAGCCCCAUUUAAUGUUGUUAAGAGCCGUAAAUGUAACUGGCCACUAAUGUGGAAGGAUUGUGAUCUCCAGCAAACGGCCCCAGCAAAGAAAGGAGCAGGAAUCCUGGGUCUGUUCCCAACCGUGCCAGUGACUCACUGGAUGACACAAAGUAAUGUGGUUCUUUUGUUGGGGGGAGAGAUGUGAGAAGACGACGCACACAGCUGCUCGCCUGACAGAGGUGAAAGGGUGGAGGAGAAGCCAUUUGACAGGCUCCCAGCAUAGUGGAGGCUCAGGGGUCCCUGGGUGAAUCCAGUUCCAUAGUAACUGCUUAGCAAUGGCCGGCUGGGUCAGCCCUGAGCUCUGGCCCACUUGAGCCCCUGCCUCCGAUGGAGCCGCUAAGAUGGCGUGGGCUGGAUUAUGGCACUUACCCUUCAUGACAUCAUUCUCAUUGGUUAGGAAUGCGCCCUGGUUGUUCCUAACUCCACUUUAAUAACUUGUUAUAGAUCUGCCCUCCAGGAAUUUGUUUGAAACUUUCUUUAAUCUAUUUAUAUUUCAGCCUGUGCAGCCUUUUCAGGCGGCAAGUAGACUGACCAUUUAUGUAAAAGCACUUAGGUCCUAAAACACAGAAAGUGCUAUAUUAGGGUUCUUAUCAUAAUAAAACGUUUGUAAUUAUAAUGUAUUUAAUAAUGAUAUUAUAAUUUGAUGAUAACAGUGAAUUCAGGUGGUCUCACAGGCUUAUUUUUAGUCACUCACUCUGUUUGUCUUUGUCUUUAUCUCCCCACGCACCACUCCCUAGCCAUCAAAAAGUAUUUAUUAAUGGAGUGAGGGGCUGUCAUGGGUAUAACAAUGCAUGCAAACUUAGAUAAACACAUUCAGUGUCCUCUAAAGACUUACCAUCUACCACCAACAUACAGUAGGUGCUCAAUAAAUACUUGUUGGGCGAAUGGAUGGAUGGAAGGAAUUAAAAAAACCUGCGUGGUAACUGGUGAGACAUAUUAGGAAUGACUAUUUUGGGGGUUGGAGAGCAAACCUGAGAGCAUCAUGGGCAAGGAGGGAAAAGGGAACAUCCUGAUUUUCUGGUCAAUGCGCACGUGUGAGCUCUCCUCAGAUUGGCCCUAGAGCUCAUCCUGGAGGAAGAGCUGGUUUCCAGGCUGCUGAAAUGAUGCCUAGAGGAGGCAGGCCAAGGGGCACCCCCAUGGCAGGUGCCAUAUGGGUUGCAGGAGUGAGGAGGCAGGUACGGGGUCCAGAAGAGAAAGACCGGUCCCUGUGGCUAUCUCUAUUUUCAGUAGGAACCACACCGGAAUGUUUUAAAAAUCCCAUGACUCAGUAGGUGAAUGGCCAAAUAAAUUGUGGUACAUCCAAACAAUGGAAUAUUAUUCAAUGCCAAAAAGAAAUGAGCUAUCAAGCCAUGAAAACACAUGGAGGAAACUUAAGUGUGCAUAUCAAUAAGUGAAAGGAGCCAACUGAAAAGGCUAUGUGCUGUAUGAUUCCAACUAUAUGACCUACUGGAAAAGGCAAAACUACGGAGACAGUAAGAAGAUCAGUGGUUGUCAGGGGUUAGUGGGGAGGGAGGGAUGAAUAGGCGGAGCGCAGAGGAUUUUUAGGGCAAACUACUCUGUGUGAUACUGUAAUGGUGCAUAUGUGUCAUUAGACAUUUGUCCAAACCCACGGAACAUACACCACCAAGAGUGAACCCUAAUGUAAACUGUGGACUUUGGGGGAUUACGAUGUGUCAGUGUAGGUUCAUCAGUUGUAACAAAUGUACCACUCUGGUCCAUCUGGUGGGGGAGAGUGUGCAUGUGGGGAGGGCAGGGGGUAUAUGGGAAAUCUCUGUACCUUCUGCUGUUUUGCUGUGAACCUAUAACUGCUCUGCUCUGCAAAAUAAAGUCUGUUUUAAAAUAAAUCCAGGUGGGGUGAUAAUGCCUUUCCGUAUGUGGAAUUCAGUCCAUCGUGGAGUCACAGAGACUUGGGGUGGAAUCUGAGCCCCACCAUAACCAGCUCUGUAAUUUUGGGGAAGUUGCUUAACUCCUCUGAUCUCAGUUUCUCUAACUGCACAGUGUCGUAAUGCCUUCCUCAGAGUGUUUUGAGAAUUAAAUGAAAAACAGUAUGUAAAAUGUCUAACCCAUUACCUGGGAUAUAUGACAUGUAAGUAUACACGACCCUUCUCCCCAGUUCCUCCCUAAUGACUGUAAUUAUUAAACAUUCUGACGGCUGCUAAUUUCAAAGUCUGGCUACUUGAGGAAAGCUGUCUUGGGUGAAAGUGACCUUCUACUAGGAAAGGAAUGUGUGCAUGGGAGUGGGCGUGUGUAUCCUCACAUGCUCAGUCAGAUGCUGGCCGCAGAAGGCCAGACAUGGACUUGAGCUCCGGGAGGCAGUAU
RNAcentral lists this long non-coding RNA (6264 nucleotides) under Equus asinus (donkey). RNAcentral's name for it is "lncRNA (ENSEASG00005037055.1)". Lineage: Eukaryota; Metazoa; Chordata; Mammalia; Perissodactyla; Equidae. The record is from RNAcentral.